GAUUCUUCCAUAUCCCCGACCCUUAGGGGAGUUUCUGGUUUUUCUCUCGCAACCCUCGUGUCGGUUCUGUCAACCUAUUAGCGUUGCUAAUCACGGCUGUCACAUCAAGAUUGUGAGAGAGGAAGAUCAAUAAAUUUUAGGUCUGUAAAUGAAUAUCCGAAAUUCGAAUUCGAAUUCGGAUAUCAAUUUUGAUAUCCUUGAUAUCCGGAUUUAAACGAACCGAAUUCGGUUAUCAGGGUAUCCGGUUCGUUUAAAUUAAAUAUUUAUAUUAUUAUAAAAUAUAAAUUUACAUAUAUAACCUUUAAAUGUUAUAAUUUAUAAAUUUAUAUAUAACUUGGUAAUAUUAUUUACUAUUGAGGAUAUAUUUAUAAAAUUUUAAAAAUAUUUUUUAAGUUUUAUUUUUUAAUUACAGUAUAUAUUUGUUAUUAUUUUUGAAUUUUAUAAAUAUUUUUUUUUAAUAAAUAUAUUUUUUUAAUAAAUAUUAUUAAAUAAACGAAUUCGAAUUCGUAUAUCAAAAUUCAAAUUCGGAUAUCAAAAUUCAAAUUCGGAUAGUAAACGAACCGAAUUCGGAUAUCCGGAUAUUAAACGAAUUCGAAUUCGGAUAUGAUGGUAUUCGGUUCGAAUUCGGUUCAUUUACAGGCCUAAUAAAUUUAUUAUGACCGGAGAUUUCUAAAAAAUUCUCCCCGUGCCGUCAGAUUAGGCAUGUAUAUCGGUCAAAUUCGACUCGGAUAUCUUGGUAUCCAAAUUCGGAUAAUAUCCAGAUAAUCCGAAUCUGUCCGAAUAAUAUCCAGAUAAUCCGAAUCCGUCCGAAUAAUAUCCGGAUAGAAAAAUCCGAAUCCAGGUAACUUUUUAUAAAAACCUUAAAAUAAAAUUAUAAAAGUAUAAAAUCAUUUUUAAUAAAGUUAAUUAAUCAUCUUAAAAUCUCGAUAUCCAAGAAGUUAAUUUAUAUUUAUUCGGAUAUCCGAAUUUUAAAAUGAUUAAUUGACUAUUAUUAUCUAGAUAUUCGAAAUUAUCAACCGAAUUUAGAUUUUAACGACGGAUAUUGCAGAUAUUCGAAUCCGUCUCGGAUAUCAUUUUUGGUAUCCGAAUUCAGAUCCGAAAUUCGAAAAUCCUAUUUGAAUUCGAAAAUGGAUACAAAUUUCGUUAUACCAUUUACAUUCUUACGUCCGACAAUUACAUGUGACAAUAACAUAUUAACGGCCGAGCCCCUAAAAACGGGCCGUCUCUACAUGAAGCCCAUCAACCAUCUGGCACGUCUUGUUUUUUCCUUUUGGUGCCAGCUGUCAAUGAGGGUCAACACGUACCAGAUUCACCAAGUUAACUGCAGUCACAAAUACAUAUAUAAACUCACGGGAUAAGAGAGUGGAACGGAUUGUAAAUGAGGUGAGGCCAUCGUCGUUGCGGGCAAUUGAAACAAACCCUACAAGAUCUAAUCGAAGAUCAUCGAAUUGGCGGAGCUUUUCGAUCCGUUUCGGUUUUG
This 1480-nucleotide long non-coding RNA is filed under the name Zostera marina. RNAcentral describes it as "long non-coding RNA (ZMAR_LNC000553)". The record is from RNAcentral. Lineage: Eukaryota; Viridiplantae; Streptophyta; Magnoliopsida; Alismatales; Zosteraceae.